This 786-nucleotide long non-coding RNA is filed under the name Nicotiana benthamiana. RNAcentral describes it as "long non-coding RNA (NBEN_LNC029887)". Lineage: Eukaryota; Viridiplantae; Streptophyta; Magnoliopsida; Solanales; Solanaceae. The record is from RNAcentral.
GGGAUUGUUAAGGACAUUAGGUGUGUCUUCCUUUGCUUGUAUGACCUUGUUAUCAAUUAGCUUCUGGAUCUUAUCCUUCAAUGUUCGUCACUCAGCAGUGGUGUGCCCUUUCAUACCGGAGUGGUACACACAAGUUUUGUUCGGAUUAACCUACUAGGAUGGAUUUUCUAAUUCCACAGUGAGAACAUGAGUGACGUAACUUGUGACUUUUAACCUUUCAUACAAUUGGUUGAUGGGCUCAGCAAUGGCGGUGUACUGUCUGGGUGGCUUGCGGUCGAAGUUGGGUCUUGGUCUUGGAUAAUUUUGUUUAGUUGGUGGUGAUUGAAAGUGGGAUGGUUGGGAGUUGUAGGUGUGAUGGACAUAGGAUGGUUAGGAAUAUCUAGGAGAUGAAGGUUGAUAUAUCGACGAUGAUACUUGGUAUGUGGGUGGAGGUGUUUGAUAUGUGGGUGAAGGUGUUUUAUAUGUGGGUGGAGGUGUCUGAUAAGUAAGUGCGUAUUUUGGGCCCUGGGUUACCAUUAUUGUCCUAACAUCUCUCUUCUUCGAUAUGCCACCUGAUUGUAGUGCCUUAUUCCUGGCUUGAAAGGCCUCGAAGUUUGUUACUAUCCUACUCUUGAUUCCUUCUUUGAUUCUUUCUCCGAGUUUGAUGAUGUCAGAGAAUUUGUGAUUUUCGAUAACCAUCUGCCUCUCAUAAUAAUGUAGAUCCUAUGACCUGACAAAGAAAUUAUUCACCUGUUCUUCGUCCAAAGAGGUCCUGACCUUGACCGCUUCCGACCUCCAACAAGUAAC